CCUACGGUGUGCAGCAGUGAGGACUAUUGGUCAAUGGUCGGGAGACUGAACCAGCCAAGCCGCGUGAGGGAGGAAGGUACAGAGUAUCGUAAACCUCUUUUGUCAGGGAACAAAGACUGGGACGCGUCCCCGGAUGAGUGUACCUGAAGAAAAAGCAUCGGCUAACUCCGUGCCAGCAGCCGCGGUAAUCCGGAGGAUGCGAGCGGUAUCCGGAUUUAUUGGGUUUAAGGGGUGCGCAGGCGGUCUGUCAAGUCAGCGGUCAAAGCCCGGGGCUCAACCCCGGCCCGCCGUUGAAACUGGCAGUCUCGAGUUGGAGAGAAGUAUGCGGAAUGCGCGGUGUAGCGGUGAAAUGCAUAGAUAUCGCGCAGAACUCCGAUUGCGAAGGCAGCAGGCCGGCUCCACACUGACGCUGAGGCACGAAAGCGUGGGUAUCGAACAGGAUUAGAUACCCCAGUAGUC
RNAcentral lists this ribosomal RNA (459 nucleotides) under uncultured bacterium. RNAcentral describes it as "partial 16S ribosomal RNA". It matches the Rfam family "Bacterial small subunit ribosomal RNA", at positions 338 to 795 of the family's 1533-position model. The record is from RNAcentral.